GUCCAAGAUGGUAGUGUGCUUGAUACCACUAAGUGCCUUUAUAAGGAUAUCAGUCAAUUCUUCAACAAUAGGAACAUGAUGAAAGGAAAUGAGUCCUCCUGAAGCUUCUUUCUAAUAAAGUGACAGUCAACUUCAAUAUGUUUGAUGCGCUCAUAAAAUACAAGAUUUUGGGCUAUAUGGAUUCCAGAUUGUCUAUCACAAUGGACAACAAUGGGAGAUGGAUCAAGAACAUUCAAUUCAGUUCCAAUGAAUCUGAUUCUGAUGAAGAUGAGAUUGCGGUAUUUUGAUAGAAUGCAACACGCUUGCAAUUGAUCUUUUAGGCUGACAUGCUUUAGUUGGGAGCUUUAUUUGUUUCAUCAAGUCCAAAUGUAGUUUUGAGGAAGUGGAAACACUGUGGAGAUGAAGAAAGAGGCUGCAAGAUCGACUAUAAUAGCAUUUGACUUAUGCUUUUCGUUUAUUAUAUUCAGGCAUGUGAGCCUGUUAUGUUUUUAUGCAGUAAAUGAAUGUUUUAGACAAUGUUUGUUUUGGUUACAUUCCAAUGGAGAUUGUUGCUUAUUAGUAAUUUGGAGCUAUCAAAGUUUUCUCUAUGUAUGAGGUGUUUUUGUGUAUUUAUGCUAGUGUGUUGAAAAUAAAGGAAA
Molecule: long non-coding RNA, 638 nt
Organism: Solanum tuberosum (potato)
Lineage: Eukaryota; Viridiplantae; Streptophyta; Magnoliopsida; Solanales; Solanaceae
Exons: 3
Source: RefSeq, a predicted model, not a curated record